GGUGGCUCAGUGGUAGAGCGCUUGCCUGGCAUGCAUGAGGCCCUGGGUUCAAUUCCUCAGCACCA
Non-coding RNA from Dipodomys ordii (Ord's kangaroo rat), 65 nucleotides. The record is from Rfam. NCBI's taxonomy places the organism in Eukaryota, Metazoa, Chordata, Mammalia, Rodentia, Heteromyidae.